AGAGAGAUGGCUGAGCGGCUUAAGGCGUUGGUUUGCUAAACCAAAGACGAGAAAUCGUCCAUGGGUUCGAAUCCCAUUCUCUCCA
Molecule: transfer RNA, 85 nt
Filed under: Bacteroidota bacterium
Lineage: Bacteria; Pseudomonadati; Bacteroidota
Description: Bacteroidetes bacterium (sediment metagenome) tRNA-Ser
Rfam family: tRNA
About the family: Transfer RNA (tRNA) molecules are approximately 80 nucleotides in length. Their secondary structure includes four short double-helical elements and three loops (D, anti-codon, and T loops).
Source: RNAcentral